Molecule: non-coding RNA, 829 nt
Organism: Paramuricea clavata
Lineage: Eukaryota; Metazoa; Cnidaria; Anthozoa; Malacalcyonacea; Plexauridae
Source: the annotation of a GenBank genome assembly
UCCACAUACUGUAGUUGUUAAAUGAGUUGUAUUCAUAUAUAACUCGAGUGGUAUUUUCAGAAGUAGCUAAUACACUAGAUGAAAUCAAUUAUAACAACUGCAUAGAGUAUUUCGUCUUAAUAUCUGCUAGACUGCUGUCUGCCUGUCUUUGACCAUAAUAUCAGGCUGCUGGAAUGCCGCCUGUACCGGUAUAUUGGAAACUUGUAUUACUUGCAUGUUGCAAACAUCACUAGUUCACUACCUACAGCUUAUUAUUCAAUUAUGUAAUUUUUUUGUCAUUUUCUCCCCUUCUGUUUUUCCUUUCUUUCUUUCUCUUUACUUUUUUUUCUUUUGAGACUUUUAAGUUUUACCCUCCAUUUUUUCCUGCCAACCUCAAAACUUUUCUGGGACCAAUGGUCCUGCGGUCCGCUAUAUUAUGCAGGCCUGAUUUACCCACCUUUGAACAACUGACCCCUGAAGUUUUGAAAUAAACAGACGUGCAGAAAAUCAUGAACUAAAACAGCAGGUUAAAUUUUAACUCAGGUUUAGCGCUAAUCCGGCUCCAGGGGCCGGUUGUAUAAAACUCUUAAUCACUUUUUAAUCACUAUUUUGUAGUUAAAUAGUGAUUAACUUUCAAAUAGGCGCUUCUUAUUGGAUGACGUUUGCACUUAAUCAUAGUUAACUUUAAUCACUCUUUUAUACAACCGGCCCCCGGUGCAUAAUCACUGAGCCUGAAGCGAAUAAUUGUUUUAGUCUAAAUUCUAAAGGAAUAAAACAAAAUAUCAGUUUAAUUAAACUGAGGAAUCCUACCUUUCAAGUUAAACACAAAAUUUUGUGCUUCUUUCGUUUU